GGCAGGAUGGCCGAGUGGUUAUGGCGGAGGGUUCAAGUCGUACUUUCCUGACGAAAAUUCAGGGCGCUUUUCCUCUGGAGCAAUCCGCAGGGGUUCGAAUCCCCUUCCUGUCA
Molecule: non-coding RNA, 113 nt
Organism: Annulohypoxylon moriforme
Lineage: Eukaryota; Fungi; Ascomycota; Sordariomycetes; Xylariales; Hypoxylaceae
Source: the annotation of a GenBank genome assembly